Molecule: long non-coding RNA, 1067 nt
Organism: Fukomys damarensis (Damara mole-rat)
Lineage: Eukaryota; Metazoa; Chordata; Mammalia; Rodentia; Bathyergidae
Exons: 3
Source: RefSeq, a predicted model, not a curated record
CCUAGCAAACGGCCAGCUAGAAGCAGGGAGGCCGCUCCACCUUCCCGGGGCCGGGCUCUACGGCGGCCAAUGAGGCGCGACCACGCGGGCUCCAAAACACCGAGAGGGCGGGGGCGUGGAUGGCCUCGGCGGGUAGUGCAGCCGAAGCCGCUUCCUUCUCCGGUGUUGAAGGAAACGAGAUUGGGGGCGGUCCCGCAAAGGGCCCGGUCGCCUCAUGGCUGCCGGGAGUCAGGAUUCACCCAGCACCUACCCAAGUUGGGACUGGAGCUUAAGCGCUGGUCUCCUUCACUUCUCUGUAGCCUCACAUCUACUACAGUUACCCUGACAAGUCUUCCGUCCGGGCGGGAUAGGUUCACCGCCUUUGUUUUAUGAGUCGCAGAGGUCACCACCCCACCUCCCGUUGAUAUAUUGAUACAUCCAAAUAUAAUGCACGUGAAAGCUCGAGAACAAACUCGAAAGUGUGUAGGGAAAUAAGGGAAUGAGAAUAAACGUACAUAAAAACUUGGGGUGACAGACUAGACCGAAAUCCCAAAUGUAAUGCACUCUAGUUAUGUGGCCUUAAUUCCCACCUCAAAUAUUUUAAGAUUACAUGUUGUAUACAUAAAGGACUUGGAAUACAGCACGUAGGAGGAGGUAUCGACAAAUGUUAUCUGUUUCAGAACCAAAGCUAAAGGUAGGAUCACUGAACAUUUACUGUGGAGGGCUGGAGAUUCACUUUGUUGGAAAGAAAUGUUCUUGGAGAAUGCAGUAAAAGAAAGAAGACGAGCUUAGCAAUACUAUGCAAAGGACUUAAAAUACCUCAUACCUAAGACUACUUCCACUUGGAAUUCAAGUGGAAAUCUUCUUCUUCGUCCACACUCUGUUCACAGUUACUCACAGGAACAGGAUGAGCCACCAUACUAAGCUACAUUCAUCUAGCCCUCCAAGAAUGAAAUUGCCAAUUAUGCCUCUUUUUUCUCCUGUGAUUCCAGAGGUUCACUUUGUAUUCUGUUAUCCCAUGAAAUAAUCUGCCUCACUUCUCCUUUCCUUUCCCCUCUCUCCCUCCUCCCCUCCCUCCCUCCCUCCCU